GGCCCAGUGGUGUAAUGGUUAGCAUAUUUACUGAGGAUGUGCCAGUUUGUAUAAACUUCUAGUAGAAGGUCCUUGUUCGAUUCAAGGCUGGGCCA
Non-coding RNA from Mycena latifolia, 95 nucleotides. The record is from the annotation of a GenBank genome assembly. Lineage: Eukaryota; Fungi; Basidiomycota; Agaricomycetes; Agaricales; Mycenaceae.